This 1822-nucleotide long non-coding RNA is filed under the name Felis catus (domestic cat). RNAcentral describes it as "lncRNA (ENSFCAG00000052723.1)". Lineage: Eukaryota; Metazoa; Chordata; Mammalia; Carnivora; Felidae. The record is from RNAcentral.
GCAUUACAUAUAUAUACAUGCAAAUAGAAUGUUUCUUAAAAUUUCUUCCUCUGUGGGUAUAAUGUGUGUUUCCCCACAUUCCUUAAAGAGAGGAAUAAAGCCUUUACCAAAGACUUUGGAAAACCUCCUACUAAAGGUUUUCUAUAAAACUCACAGAAGUUAAAUAAUUGCCUGCCUGCCUUCCCUUUGUGUUUUACUUUGAAUUGUAAAAAUAUAUGAAAACAAAGUAUAGAAAAUAGUAUGAUAUUCCCAAGUAUCCACAGCCAAAUAUAAACAAUGUUAAUAUUUCAUAUUUUCCUCAAAAUUCUUUUGUUUUUAAUUAAAAAUUAUAAACAAAGCUAACCCUGUCCACUCCUACCUGCACAUACACAUUGAUAGGUAACCACUGCCCUCAAGUUGGUAAUUAUCAUUCCUGUGCAAGUUUUUAUUCUUUUGCUAAAUAUGCAUAUUAUAUACUGUUGAUUACUGGUUCUUAUUAUGUACAUAAAGAAAAUAAAUAAAAUUGGAUGCAGAAAUAUCACCAUGAAAAAUGGGUCCAAAUGCUGAAAGACAUCUUUGGAAACAAGAUGUGCCCAGUGAUAUUGGCCCAGGAAGUACAUUUGAGAGUAAGCCUAUGAAGUGCUAAUCUUCUACUACAGUCCAGUGGCUCCAGAAGUGCCCUUUCUCUGGUCUUGGCAGAUGAUCCCAGCACCUGAGCCAAUACCACAGACCCGGCAACAAUGAUCCUAUUUCUUCAGGCAUCCAUCACUAAGAGAAGAAAGAAGGGCUCAUUUUUUUCUAUCUCAGGUGGUACUGACGCCUCAAAGCUAGCACUGUAGUCAAAGGAGUGACCAACGGCCUCAGAGAAACAAUCACAGAAAGAAUUUCUGGCCUUGGAGCAUCUCAGGAAAAAAAAAAUACUACAUGCAUCAGCAGCAGACACUAAUAAUCAGUCACCAGAGAAAAAGACUGACCUCAGAGAAUGACCAGGGAGGUGGAAGAAUUUCAAGUCAAGGCUACAGACCAGGGAUCAAGGAACCAAUGAGAGAGGAGAAGUUCAACAUCAAAAGAGAAGAUCCAUUAUAGAAGAGAAACCUGGCUUCAAAUAGAAAGGCAGAUGAAAAUCAUACAUUACAGCAAAUUUUUUUCCAUAUUGUCCCAGAAGGGAGCAAUGAAUGGUAUAAUAAGGUGGAUUUGGAUUCAGUUCAAGCAAAAGAGAUACUUUCUGGAAAUGAUAGAUUUCUAAAAAUGCAGCAAUUAUAGGAGCAUGUCAUUCACACAAGUGUGCAAGAAAAGACUGGCACUUGAGGUAACACAAAAGGACUGAAUGAGGAGUUGGGCAAGAUUCCUUCUAGCCUGGAGAUUCCAUAACUAUGUCCCUAUGUUCACAGAAGAUGGACUUUGAGUACUUAGUUCAGAGCCCAACUUCCUCCAUUCUAAAAAAAGCUAGUGCAUUUUCAGAAAUACCCAGCUAUUAGAAAGUAUUUCAGACAAAGGAGUUUUCUUCAAUAUUUAUGCCAUUCUCCAGUACCCAGUACAAUGUUGAGCACACCGUGGGUUCUCACUAUUUGUUUAAGAAAUGGAAUAGGAGCACCUUGGUGGCUCAGUAAGUUGGGCACCCGACAUAGGCUCAGGUCAUAGUCUAACAGUUCAUGGGUUCAGGCCCUGCAUCAGACUCUGUCCUGACAGCUCAGAGCCUGGAGCCUAUUUGGAUUCUGUGUCUCCCUCUCUCUCUGCCCCUCCCCCACUCAUGUGCUGCUUCUCUCUCUCUCUCUUAAAAUGAAUACACAUUAAAAAUUUUUUAACAAAUAAAUGGAAUAAAGGAAGGGAGGGAAGGAACUAA